This is a small nucleolar RNA of Achroia grisella, 82 nucleotides long. RefSeq annotates it as small nucleolar RNA snR60/Z15/Z230/Z193/J17. The record is from RefSeq and is a predicted model, not a curated record. Lineage: Eukaryota; Metazoa; Arthropoda; Insecta; Lepidoptera; Pyralidae. The transcript has a single exon.
AAAUUUUUAUGAUGAUUUCAUAGUUCAUCUGAAGUUUUUGAUGUAUAACUAUUUUGUCUUUCGCUCCUAUCUGAUAUCAUAC